This 415-nucleotide unclassified non-coding RNA is filed under the name Hevea brasiliensis (rubber tree). Lineage: Eukaryota; Viridiplantae; Streptophyta; Magnoliopsida; Malpighiales; Euphorbiaceae. The record is from RNAcentral.
GAAGACAUUUGGGUCUUGAGAGUAUAACUGUAGGGUUUCACCUACAUAAGGCCACCCCGUUGAACCAGGAGGAAGCUUAGCUCUUGGUUUGGAUACCUUAGUUUUCUUCUUGAUGAAGGGAUAAGGGAGCAGACUAAAGAGAAAGAGGCGUAUGUAUAUUAAAAUAGAAGCAAUCUCCAUGCAAAUGUGCAACUUCUUUCUCCCUCUUCCUCCGUGUAUGAGUAUAUAUGAGAUGGGUUUUGGCAGUGAAAUGGGGGAUAUGUUAGAUCGAUGAAACUAAUGUGGAGCAAGGAGGAUUGGUGUUUAUAUAGAAGAGAAGACCAGUGGUAGCAAAAUUGGUUUUGGGGCUUAGUAAUGUGAUUAGGAUUCAUACAUAUCCAACGCUAGUGGCGCAGCACUACAAACCACAUGUGAG